AUAAAAUGGCGGUUUGUGUUGAUCGGUUAUUCUUUGCUCGGUUAUUUAUAAUAAAUCCUUUAUAUAAACUAUAAUAGUGCUUUGAAUGCAUUGUCGCAAGAAACCAACAAGUUUCUUCACUAAAUUGUAAGUUUUUUUAGAAUAAAUAAAAAAUUAAACCAAGGAAGGAAAUGAAACGAAUCAGAAAUGUAACUAAUAAAGCAUUUAAUGAAGAAAUUAAAAUCCUUUCCACCACAGUUGUAAGUUCCUUAGGACAGAUGAGAUUAAACUGGCAUGAAAUUUUAUGAAGAAAGAAAAUGAAAUGAAUUAGAAACGUAAAUAUAAAAGGCAUCAGGAUCACUUAUCCGGAAACCACUCGUCGAGUCUUGUUUUCUUCAGCCAGUAGAACCAAUUGAUUGAAUCAAUCAACUAGCACACCACAAUAAUUGAAAAGUUGCUUAGAAUCGUUUUGCCCGAGUUGUGGACUUUCAUAAGUAAUUUUAUGUUUUUAGUAUGCAAUUUGUCACAGUGUAAUUUAUUCCUUCAAUAGUAUAUACUCACUUGUGUACUUGUUUAAUUGUCCCAACUAAGGUUUAUAACCUACUGCUCCUUAAACAUUGGAGUUGAUGAAUUGACAAUUCAAACAUGUAUCUAAAGGCUUAAUUACCCAUUACAGUUUUUAUGUAGUUCAUGAGGCUUAAUUAUCUCUUAUGCGUCAAUUGGAAUAAAGACAUUUUCUUUUUACCUUAUCGAGGGGUCAGAAGGUCAUUUUAAUGUGUUUGUGAUUUAACAUAUGACACUGGACAGUCAUCUCAUUUAGUUGUGUUGAGUAAUUUUACCUAAUUUUUAUCCUCGAUGGAUUAUAAAUCCUAUUUACUAUCUGUCCAUGAGGAUUUUCCUUAAUUUUUCAUUCUUUCAUACUAAAGUUAUGAUUGUAAAAAAGUAACUGGUGUUUAUAAUAAUUAAUGUCUCCUU
This is a long non-coding RNA of Aethina tumida (small hive beetle), 954 nucleotides long. RefSeq lists it as uncharacterized. The transcript has 4 exons. Lineage: Eukaryota; Metazoa; Arthropoda; Insecta; Coleoptera; Nitidulidae. The record is from RefSeq and is a predicted model, not a curated record.